Dipodomys ordii (Ord's kangaroo rat) is the source of this 71-nucleotide non-coding RNA. Lineage: Eukaryota; Metazoa; Chordata; Mammalia; Rodentia; Heteromyidae. The record is from Rfam.
GUGAAGGUGGCUCAGUGGUAGAGUGCUUGCCUCCCAUGCAUGAGGCCCUGGUUCGAUUCUUGAGUACCACA